UAGGGUUUUUUCUAGGUUUGUGUUGCUCCAAAAACAUUCAAAUUAAAGUUCGGGGUUUAUUCUUCUGCCUUGUUUAUCAAAGAACAGAUUUGUGAGGAUAUACCGCAAGUGCUGGAUUCAGAUGUGCCUGGGUUAGCUGAAAGGCCUAUCAACAUAUUUCUUCCUCGGUUAUUUCAGUUUUUUUCAGUCUCCCCAUGCUUCAUGGUUUGUUUGCCCUUGCUAAUGACACUGCAGCAGAAGUGCGGAAAUUGACGCUUCUAAAAAGUUCAAGGUCAUUCUGGCUUGGUGGCAAGAUAUGACAGAACAAAACUACAAUAGUGUUGUAAAACCUGUUCCUUCUACUUCAUCUUUCGUCCCAGCACAGAAGAUAAGCACGGACAUU
Molecule: long non-coding RNA, 382 nt
Organism: Hibiscus syriacus
Lineage: Eukaryota; Viridiplantae; Streptophyta; Magnoliopsida; Malvales; Malvaceae
Exons: 4
Source: RefSeq, a predicted model, not a curated record